Molecule: non-coding RNA, 511 nt
Organism: Paramuricea clavata
Lineage: Eukaryota; Metazoa; Cnidaria; Anthozoa; Malacalcyonacea; Plexauridae
Source: the annotation of a GenBank genome assembly
CUGAUAUCUCAUAUGUAAAAUUGUAAAUAUUUAAAAAGAAUUGCGUCUUAACUGUCUCGUCUAACCCUACAAGGUUAUUACAGUUAGCUUGCACCUUCAUAUUAUGUAAUAUUUAAUGAAGAGAAGCAGUGGCGGACACUAGGGGGAGGGGGCGAGGGGUGGCCCGAGCCCCCCGGAUAAUUUUAAAAGACUGUAAAAAUCUUGUACCAAAUAACACAAAUCACACUCAUAUAACGUAAUAUAUUGUCAUAUUAAAUAAUAACUAUUAGAUAAAACUUAAGCUAAAGCAGUAAGCAAUAUACCAAACAAUAUAAUAAUAUACGUUUCUGUACUGUAACUGACACAACAUACGCAUUUUAUACAUUCUUUUUGACGGAUACUAGGAGGUCAACUUUUUGCAACAGGCACUUCUUUAAAUGUCAUUGUCGAUUUUUUGUUGUUUUUGAAGCUUAUACUAGUCUUUAGCAGCAAAAUUUUCUGCUGCACAAUAAUAUUUGAAUGCGUAUUAAAC